GAGCAGGUGCGAAAGCAGGUCAUAGUGAUCCGGUGGUUCUGAAUGGAAGGGCCAUCGCUCAACGGAUAAAAGGUACUCCGGGGAUAACAGGCUGAUACCGCCCAAGAGUUCAUAUCGACGGCGGUGUUUGGCACCUCGAUGUCGGCUCAUCACAUCCUGGGGCUGAAGUAGGUCCCAAGGGUAUGGCUGUUCGCCAUUUAAAGUGGUACGCGAGCUGGGUUUAGAACGUCGUGAGACAGUUCGGUCCCUAUCUGCCGUGGGCGCUGGAGAACUGAGGGGGGCUGCUCCUAGUACGAGAGGACCGGAGUGGACGCAUCACUGGUGUUCGGGUUGUCAUGCCAAUGGCACUGCCCGGUAGCUAAAUGCGGAAGAGAUAAGUGCUGAAAGCAUCUAAGCACGAAACUUGCCCCGAGAUGAGUUCUCCCUGAGACUUAGAGUCUCCUGAAGGAACGUUGAAGACGACGACGUUGAUAGGCCGGGUGUGUAAGCGCAGCGAUGCGUUGAGCUAACCGGUACUAAUGAACCGUGAGGCUUAACCUUACAACGCCGAAG
Molecule: ribosomal RNA, 552 nt
Filed under: Salmonella enterica subsp. enterica serovar Enteritidis
Lineage: Bacteria; Pseudomonadati; Pseudomonadota; Gammaproteobacteria; Enterobacterales; Enterobacteriaceae
Description: partial 23S ribosomal RNA
Rfam family: Bacterial large subunit ribosomal RNA
Source: RNAcentral